UUUUCACUUUCAUCAUCAUGAUGUGAGUCUUUUCUGAGUUUCUUGUGCUGAAUUUUAAGUAUUUUCCCUAGCUUGUGGUUAGUACGGGCAACUGCAGAAGCUUUCAGAGUUGAUGAUGCUCCUGCCAAUGUUUUCUUUCUUCUGAUGGAAAACAAGAAGGAGAUUCUUCCAUUUUGCACACAGAUUCUCCAGUUCCAGGCUCAGUGGAGGCUGAGCUUAAUGAUAGAAAAAUUGGAAAGCUAUGCGAGUAUGCUUCUAAGAAUCCAUUAAGAAUUCCUAAGAUAAAUGAGAAUUUGGAGCAAAGAUGUUAUAAGGAUUUGCGUAAUGAAAUGUUUGGUUCAGUUAAAGUUGUCUUGUGCAUAUACAGGAAAUUCUUAUCGUUAUGUAUAUCAGAAUGGAGGUUUGCAAAUUGGUAGUUCUCAAGUUUUUGCACAAUAAAAAAGCUUAAAAGUUUGCAUUGAGGAAGUUAUUAGGAUAAAACACCUUGAACAUGUGAGGUUUAAUAAAUAUUCCCUAAAACACUUGGUGAGAGAAAC
Molecule: non-coding RNA, 536 nt
Organism: Arachis ipaensis
Lineage: Eukaryota; Viridiplantae; Streptophyta; Magnoliopsida; Fabales; Fabaceae
Source: RefSeq, a predicted model, not a curated record